This 2567-nucleotide long non-coding RNA is filed under the name Fukomys damarensis (Damara mole-rat). Its description in RNAcentral is "lncRNA (ENSFDAG00000023739.1)". The record is from RNAcentral. Lineage: Eukaryota; Metazoa; Chordata; Mammalia; Rodentia; Bathyergidae.
AGGCAGAGAGGAGUGCAGCAUGCAACUUAUCCCCUGUGAGUUGAACUCCAAUGCAUGUACUCCUGGCUGGAGUUGGACAUACUGGCUGGGAGAGGCAGGGGCACACCGGGGGACUGCAUCGACUUGGCUACUGAGCAAAGAGAGCUCUUUCUCAUCCCUAAUGGUGUGAGUUACAGCGGUGGACCCUACAGAUUCCCUCACUCCCAGUGCCCACCUUCUCUGGCUCUGAGUUCUAAAGCAGAAUUCUGGCCACUUCUGAACAAUCCCUGCCUUUGUCUUUGAAAAGGAAACCGAACAGCCAAGUUCUAUCUAAUGCAGGACUUAACCCUGGGGGUAUGGGCUCGGUCGCCAUGCUGCUGCCACCAAGUUCACUAUGUUCAGAGGACACCGAGAUACUGCUCCGCACAGGCUGUGGCCACUGUCACUUCCACCACACUGGCUGAACGACCGCUCAAAGUACCAAACGGACACCACAGUCCGCCAGCAGCAGCCAUGGCUUUGUGUGGUCUGAUGAUGGCAACGGGAGGCAAAGCAACUGAGCCAGGGGCAGGACAUGCUGGUGACCAUCGCAAGCUGGUUGGGAGCAUGGUCUCAGCUCUGGGCAUGUGGAACAGGAUGAGAAGACUCGAGAGAGGGAGAAUCCAAGGACGGCAUAAAGUGUCUCGUGGAAUUCAUGCACUUCAGCGGAGGAAGCAAGGGUCAGGGGGCAAAGUUUCAUCCCAGAACCAUUUCUUCUACAGGAGCAGGAGGCUUCACCAUGCGCCUCCCCUUCCCAAGCAUUGCCGGGCUUCCCCCAGCUACCAGCUCACCACCCUCCCAAACGUCCCACGCACGGACCAAGACCUUGGAAGGCACUUCCAGGAGUCCUCCCCAGCAGAGGAGCUUGCACUCCCUAGGUUUCUACUCCUGGCCUUCUCCUGUCACUUCACAGUCAUCCCCACCAUUUCCUCUUCCUUAUCUUUCCUCUGAUCCAAGAGUAAACCAAGGAGCACUGGCCACGUGCACAAGUGUGUGAAGGAUGAAGCAGUCACACCAGUCCGGGGGAGAUGAACGGAGGUCGUCAGACUCUAGACCUGGAUGCCCCAAAGCCUCCCUGAGUGGAAGGUGAGCAGAUCCUGGGUGCGGUUCUCACCACAGGAUCCGUCCACUUGUGAGUCAGCCUAUUGUAGACAGCUAAGUUAAUUACGUAUCUCCCAGGCAGUGAGACAAGGCUGGCCCUCCAGCAGUCCAAGUGAAAGACAAUCCAAAUACACUGACUGAAGGUCAGCACUACACUCACAUGCUUCCCCUGGAGAUGAAUAGCAGUGACUGAUAUUCUAAAUAGGCAUCAAUCACUCUGGGAGGGGAACAAAACCUCCAGAGCCCAUUCCAUUCCUUCCGGGGAAGUCCUAGUUCCUUCCAAAAGUGCUCACCACCUGAUUAGCUUCCCCAUUUGACUGCCAUUUAAUCAACACUACCUAAGUGAUUAUACGUGUUGCAAUCUUAUUGGUUGGAUCAUAGUUUUGUCCCACCUGGAGAUUUCCCAUUGGAUCGCUAUUACCUCAGGGACUGUGCUCCUAAUAGUUGUCUGAAGUUUUGUCCCACCUUGAACCCGCCUCACCCCAUAGCUUUGCUCAAUAAAAGACCUUUGAGAAGCAGGGUGGGUGGACAACCCACUUUCUGGUCCCCCCCCACUAUCUUAGACAGAAGCCAUCUUUCUCUCAAUAAAUUUUUCCUACUCUUAACCUCCUCUGUUCCUAGGAUUCAUUCUUCAAUUUUAGAGAACACAAACUCAAGUUGCAGGUAUCUAGCAGGCUGGGAGUUGUCCCAUGUCCUUAUUUGCUCAUUUGGAUUACUGGGUCCCCUCUACAGAGUCCAUGGCUGAGUGUGUGGCUGGGGAGGUGGGGCUGGUGAGACAUGGGUCUCCGGGUCGCCCUGGAAGGACAUAUUCUUCUCUUCCCACAUCCCCUGCCUCCGGGCCGCCAUGACCUGAGCAGCUGUCCUCCACCCAGGCCCUGUCACCCGUGCUGCUGCCUUGGAGUCAGCUCACCAUGGAAUUCGAGCCAAAAUCAACCUUUCUUCCUUUACGUUUCGAGUGAGGCAUUCUGUCCCACUGAAAGGAAAGUGACCGCAGCAGGAUGUGCAGAGCUGUCAUCUGUUGACUGUGUGAUCGUGGUUGGCAGAGUCAAUCUCCUUGAGCCUCCAUUUAUCUGCGUAAUAGGGAUGAUAAAUCUCUGCUCCUUACAUUAAAUAACACAGAAGCCACUGAAGUUUCUCCCUCAGGCCAUAACGGAACACCCAAUAAAAGGAGUGCCUGAUAUACAACUGUGACAGCCCAGCAUGGACACACACUUGCAAUCCCUGCUAUUUAGUGGCUGAGGCAGGAGGAUCACAAGAUCAAGGGCAGCCUAGGCAACUUCUUAAGCAAGACCCUAUCUCAAAAUAAAAUAAAAGGAGCUGCAAGUGUAGCUCAGAGGUAUAGCACUUGCCUAGCAUGUGCGAGGCCUUGUAUUAAAACCCAGUACCUCAAAAAACACCAAAAAUUCAUGAUCAAAAGAAAUUCUUUUGAGAUAGGGUAUCGCUAUGCA